Molecule: ribosomal RNA, 468 nt
Filed under: uncultured Sphingobacteriales bacterium
Lineage: Bacteria; Pseudomonadati; Bacteroidota; Sphingobacteriia; Sphingobacteriales
Description: bacterial SSU rRNA
Rfam family: Bacterial small subunit ribosomal RNA
Source: RNAcentral
GACGGGGCCCGCACAGCGGAGGAACAUGUGGUUUAAUUCGAUGAUACGCGGAGGAACCUUACCUGGGCUUAAAGUGGGGAGUGACAGCUGUCGAAAGAUGGUUUUCUUCGGACACUCUUCAAGGUGCUGCAUGGUUGUCGUCAGCUCGUGCCGUGAGGUGUCGGGUUAAGUCCCAUAACGAGCGCAACCCUUACCGUUAGUUACCAUCAGGUUAAGCUGGGGACUCUAGCGGGACUGCCACCGUAAGGUGAGAGGAAGGUGGGGAUGACGUCAAAUCAGCACGGCCCUUAUGUCCAGGGCUACACACGUGUUACAAUGGCCGGUACAAAGGGCAGCUACUUCGCGAGAAGAUGCUAAUCUCGAAAGCCGGUCUCAGUUCGGAUCGAAGUCUGCAACCCGACUUCGUGAAGCUGGAUUCGCUAGUAAUCGCGCAUCAGCCAUGGCGCGGUGAAUACGUUCCCGGGCCUU